This 1008-nucleotide small RNA is filed under the name Pan troglodytes (chimpanzee). RNAcentral describes it as "retained intron". Lineage: Eukaryota; Metazoa; Chordata; Mammalia; Primates; Hominidae. The record is from RNAcentral.
GAGGGCCCGCGGCCCGGGGGGCUGAGGCGCCCGCCGCCUGCCGCGGGGGCCGCUCGCGUCCUCCAUGGAGGCCGGAGAGGAACCGCUGCUGCUGGCCGAACUCAAGCCCGGGCGCCCCCACCAGUUUGACUGGAAGUCCAGCUGUGAAACCUGGAGCGUCGCCUUCUCCCCAGAUGGCUCCUGGUUUGCUUGGUCUCAAGGACACUGCAUCGUCAAACUGAUCCCCUGGCCGUUGGAGGAGCAGUUCAUCCCUAAAGGGUUUGAAGCCAAAAGCCGAAGUAGCAAAAAUGAGACGAAAGGGCGGGGCAGCCCAAAAGAGAAGACGCUGGACUGUGGUCAGAUUGUCUGGGGGCUGGCCUUCAGCCCGUGGCCUUCCCCACCCAGCAGGAAGCUCUGGGCACGCCACCACCCCCAAGUGCCCGAUGUCUCUUGCCUGGUUCUUGCUACGGGACUCAACGAUGGGCAGAUCAAGAUCUGGGAGGUGCAGACAGGGCUCCUGCUUUUGAAUCUUUCCGGCCACCAAGAUGUCGUGAGAGAUCUGAGCUUCACACCCAGUGGCAGUUUGAUUUUGGUCUCCGCGUCACGGGAUAAGACUCUUCGCAUCUGGGACCUGAAUAAACACGGUAUGGGAAGUGAAGGAACUACUUGGCAACUCCAAAAAUACUGUAUUUGCUUUCUCCACUUUACCAGUGUCAUUUUUAUCUAAAACAGUGUUUCUUGAUGUUUUUUUCUGUGAUUGCCCCUUAAGGAGCCUUUUAGACAGUUUUUUCCUAAUCGCCCCUGCCCGCCCCAAAGAUAAUACUAUACCAACUAGAGUUUAAUACCAAACAUAUACUGUGUGUCUAUUUAGGCUAUUUUAAUAUCGAAGAUAUAUUGUAUAUCUGCUUAUGUGCUGAAUGCAUGUCUAUGCUUUGUAUGUAAAAAAAUGUUAAGAUUUUUUUGGCUACCAAGAACUAGUUUGUACCCUCUUGGGGUGAAUUGCCCCUGUUAAAAAUAUUUGAUCUAGAA